Molecule: long non-coding RNA, 1357 nt
Organism: Amphiprion ocellaris (clown anemonefish)
Lineage: Eukaryota; Metazoa; Chordata; Actinopteri; Pomacentridae
Source: Ensembl
CGACAUGCGUUUUUUUGUUCUUCACAAACAGAUCGCAUUUUAAAUGUCAAUACCACAGUCGAUCAUGUUUACAGAUUCAAAAUUGUGAUCGCUGUUAAAAAUUGAGACUUCAAGACUGAAUAUGGGCGCUACUUUUUCCUUUUUUAAGCUAAAACGUCAAGAUCUCUACCUGCAUCUGAACACUUCCUAUCAUCAGGUGUGUCGGGCCUUUCCCUCUCCACACAGCGUUUUUAACAUAGUCAUCUGUAGAUCGUUAAAUUGACUAUUUUACACUUCAGUUAAGAAUAGACUGAGUCAAUGUGGAGGAAAUAGUUUUAGUUACAACCACAAUAACUUGUACAGUAGCUACCUGUGCUGACGGAAGGGUCACCAGAUCAGCCUAAUGAUGAUCAUACACUGGCACAAUGUCACCACCUGAAAUUUCAGCUCCCACACACACACACACACACACACACGGACAGGACAGGGAUUUUUUUUAAAAAAAAAAGAAAAAAAAGUCUAUAAAUAUGUAACUUUGAUAUCCAGAGAUCCUACUAAUAGAUUAAAUCAAUGGCGAGAGAGCAACUUUAAGAUUAGCCGUUAGCUAGUUAUUGCUAACGUUACUAGCUAACUGAGCUAACCCUCGGUGCAGAAUUGCCACAAUGCUUUUCACCUGGAAAUAACUUUAAAGGAGCAGCGGGCCGCAACAACACAGUGUCAGGGUAUCAACUCCACAUCUGAGGCCUGCACUUCAGUCUAGGAAAAAGGCAGAUAAAGAAACCCAACAAGGAGAUUGAGACUACCAUAUCAGGUCGGGCUGUCCGAGGAUCGGCCUGUGGGAUGGAGAGAUAAAGAACGCCUGGUGCAUUUCUGUGGGAUGAUUUCCAGCGGUAUCAAGAAGCCGCCUGUGCUCUCCUACUGUGGAUUAUUGGAGCAGCUGCUUGAAGGCUGUCUACACUCUCAGUGAAGAGCGUUCUCAGACGCUCCGUAUGGCCCACACAGCCUCCACAAUAUAUUAGACAUGGAAAACCUAAGCUGUAAGUACUUCAAAAGAAGACUAGAUAAAGAAUGAGUCUGUGAUUCUGGACAAAAACUUGCUAGUAUUUCAUCAGUUAGCAUAUUUAGGUAGUAUGUAGGUGUCAUAUUCAGUGUUCCUCUCUGCUGUGUUUUUUUCUUUUUUCAGUGCACACACAGAACCGACAGCUAGCGGGCUUAUUCAGAGAGGCAGAUAUUCACUAAAUCUAAUAAAAGAUAUGUUGGAUUACAGUCACUGACUUUCCAUUUAACUACACUGAUGAGACAAGAGACCUUACCGUUUAUUGUGACCUGUGGUAUUUAACUCCUGUCAGAAGCCCAGGUAUCUGAACUACCACUAUUU